CGACGAAUAGGUGGUGAGUGUCGAUUCUCCUUUCACGGGUCUUUUCCAGGAUUUGGCGCAUGGUGAAUAUCUGGUCGGUUGUUGAUUUACCAGGUCUGAAGCCACACUGAUAAGGUCCAAUCAGUUUGUUGACGGUGGGCUUUAAUCUUUCACACAAUACGCUCGAUAGAACCUUAUACGCGAUAUUAAGGAGGCUAAUCCCACGGUAGUUGGCGCAGAUUGUGGGGUCUCCUUUUUUAUGGAUUGGGCAUAGCACACUUAAAUUCCAAUCGUUGGGCAUGCUUUCGUCCGACCAUAUUUUACAAAGAAGCUGAUGCAUGCUCCUUAUCAGCUCUUCGCCGCCGUGUUUGAAUAGCUCGGCUGGCAAUCCAUCCGCCCCCGCCGCUUUGUUGUUCUUCAGGCGGGUAAUUGCUAUUCGAACUUCUUCUUGGUCGGGCAAUGGAACGUCUUUUCCGUCGUCAUCGAUUGGGGAAUCGGGUUCGUCUUCUCCUG
Long non-coding RNA from Bactrocera dorsalis (oriental fruit fly), 492 nucleotides. RefSeq lists it as uncharacterized. The record is from RefSeq and is a predicted model, not a curated record. Lineage: Eukaryota; Metazoa; Arthropoda; Insecta; Diptera; Tephritidae. The transcript is spliced from 2 exons.